This 451-nucleotide ribosomal RNA is filed under the name uncultured bacterium. RNAcentral describes it as "bacterial SSU rRNA". It matches the Rfam family "Bacterial small subunit ribosomal RNA", at positions 340 to 786 of the family's 1533-position model. The record is from RNAcentral.
UACGGGAGGCAGCAGGGGGAAUAUUGCACAAUGGGCGCAAGCCUGAUGCAGCCAUGCCGCGUGUAUGAAAAGGCCUUCGGGUUGUAAAGUACUUUCAGUCGUGAGGAAGGUGUUAAGGUUAAUAACCUUAGCAAUUGACGUUAGCGACAGAAGAAGCACCGGCUAACUCCGUGCCAGCAGCCGCGGUAAUACGGAGGGUGCGAGCGUUAAUCGGAAUUACUGGGCGUAAAGGGCACGCAGGCGGUUAAUAAGUUGGAUGUGAAAUCCCCGGGCUUAACCUGGGAAUGGCAUUCAAGACUGGUUAGCUAGAGUCUUGUAGAGGGGGUAGAAUUCCAUGUGUAGCGGUGAAAUGCGUAGAGAUGUGGAGGAAUACCGGUGGCGAAAGGCGGCCCCUGGACAAAGACUGGACGCUCAUGUGCGAAAGCGUGGGAGCAAACAGGGAUUAGAUACC